Molecule: ribosomal RNA, 254 nt
Filed under: uncultured bacterium
Lineage: Bacteria
Description: partial 16S ribosomal RNA
Rfam family: Bacterial small subunit ribosomal RNA
Source: RNAcentral
UACGUAGGGUGCGAGCGUUAAUCGGAAUUACUGGGCGUAAAGCGUGCGCAGGCGGUUAUUUAAGUCAGGUGUGAAAGCCCUGGGCUUAACCUAGGAAUUGCGCUUGAGACUGGAUAGCUUGGAGUGCGGCAGAGGGAGGUGGAAUUCCACGUGUAGCAGUGAAAUGCGUAGAGAUGUGGAGGAACACCGAUGGCGAAGGCAGCCCCCUGGGGUAACACUGACGCUCAUGCACGAAAGCGUGGGGAGCAAACAGG